RNAcentral lists this ribosomal RNA (253 nucleotides) under uncultured bacterium. RNAcentral's name for it is "partial 16S ribosomal RNA". It matches the Rfam family "Bacterial small subunit ribosomal RNA", at positions 524 to 776 of the family's 1533-position model. The record is from RNAcentral.
UACGAAGGGGGCUAGCGUUGUUCGGAAUUACUGGGCGUAAAGGGCGCGUAGGCGGCGUGUCAAGUCAGACGUGAAAUCCCCCGGCUUAACCUGGGAACUGCGUCUGAUACUGGACGGCUUGAGUAUGGGAGAGGGAUGUAGAAUUCCAGGUGUAGCGGUGAAAUGCGUAGAUAUCUGGAGGAAUACCGGUGGCGAAGGCGGCAUCCUGGACCAUUACUGACGCUGAGGCGCGAAAGCUAGGGGAGCAAACGGG